UACGUAGGGGGCUAGCGUUGUCCGGAAUCAUUGGGCGUAAAGAGCGCGUAGGCGGCCCGGUAAGUCUGCUGUAAAAGUCAAAGGCUUAACCUUUGAAAGUCAGUGGAUACUGCCGGGCUAGAGUCCGGAAGAGGCGAGUGGAACUCCUGGUGUAGCGGUGGAAUGCGCAGAUAUCGUAAGGAAGACCAGUGGCGAAGGCGGGUCUCUGGACAGUUCCUGACGCUGAGGCACGAAGGUCAGGGGAGCAAACGGG
Molecule: ribosomal RNA, 253 nt
Filed under: uncultured bacterium
Lineage: Bacteria
Description: partial 16S ribosomal RNA
Rfam family: Bacterial small subunit ribosomal RNA
Source: RNAcentral